Molecule: long non-coding RNA, 681 nt
Organism: Lytechinus pictus (painted urchin)
Lineage: Eukaryota; Metazoa; Echinodermata; Echinoidea; Temnopleuroida; Toxopneustidae
Exons: 3
Source: RefSeq, a predicted model, not a curated record
AUGUGUAGCAUUCAUAACCAGAAACAGGAAACUAAUUUUGGUGUCUCACAGACACUGUAAUUUCAGGUGACGUGUGGCAGAAAAUCUGGUUAAAAUCUGGUUAAAAUAUACACUGUAGGAUACUCAUGAAUAUUAUAUUUUUUACUAAAAAAAUACUUGAGCCAACAUGGUCGUUUUCUUUCAAGACUUUUUCAGGGAAGUCCUACAUCAUAGUUCAACUUCAAAGCAUGAUCUGGAUUGGUUGAUGUAGCCCGAUUAUGGAGAGAUUCUGGGCAGAAAGAGGGUUCUGGACAAGACUCUUACAACACAAGCUCCGUUCAAUGGCAGCCAAAUUUACCAUUUAAAAAUGCUUUGAGCCAGGAAGAAAGAAAAGAUACGCAAAAUUUAGUCAGGAUUCUGGAGGUCGACGGCCCCGACGCGGAGUCCAACCCCUCAUGCAAGAGGAGGAACAACAUUGGUUUCUUUAAAAUGCACAAGUGCGGAAGUAGCACUGUACAAAACAUACUGAUGAGGUACGGUGUGCGUCAUCUUCUGAAUUUCGUUCUUCCGCCCUCUGGGAAUUACCUCGGGCAAAGUUACUUCAACAAGCGUUUCAUGAUGUCCUUUCCAGUCCAUGAAUAUAAUAUCCUCUGUCAUCAUACGCGCUUCAGCAAAGAAGGUAUUUAUGAUCGUUAUUAAUUU